CGUGGCUGCUGCGUUAAUAUGCACCGUAGAAAGGGAGCAGGGGAUACCUCUUGCCCGCGGAGCGAAAGUAACCACGACAGCGUCAGUGUGAGGGGACGGGUUCCUUCACCCCCCCCAUCUCCCCCAACCCCUCGUCUCUCUCUGUCUCUCUCUCUGACAGCGUCCAGCUUUGGCGCUCUGCUCAGUUAGUUAGAGAUACACGCUGAGCCACUGGAGCGCAAGGAAAGAUAUGUUGGCUACAGCAGGCAGGGGCUUCCACCACUUCAGCAACGGUGCUUUUUUCAAUUUUUUGUUUCAGCAUGAAACAUUUAAAAGCCAGGACAUCAGAUAAAUAUGUUUUACAUUGCUGAGCAGUAUAAAAGUUUCAUAGAGAUGAGCCUUUAUCAAGGCUUGACAAGGGGUUAUUGGCACAAGAGGCUAGACUGAAAUCGCUUUUUUUUUUUUAAGCUUUGCGGAAUACAUUUUUAAAAAAAAGGUUGAAAUGGCCACAUAAAACCUGCCCAUCAACUGACUUCAUUCUUCAACCGGACAGCGUCCUUCCUCACAGACGAGAAGAAGAAGAAGACAAGGGGAAGCAGAGGUGAGACGUCAACAAAGCAGAGAAAGAAGACGAGCCGAGAGGAGGUGGGCAGCACAGUUUUCAGCUCUUACGAGACUGAGGAGGAGAAAGUGACGGCAGCUAGAACUUGGCCACUAGUGAGAUGAAAUUUGGGGAGGAGACGCUGGAGCGCUGCAGGGUACGACAUCCACACAGAGCCCUAAAAGUGGACCGCCUGGAAGACGAGCCCUCCCUCUCUGGAUCCUGUGCCCCUCCACAGCCGAAGGAUGAGAGGGGUCGACUUUCACCUUAGUUGCCGGGGAUGUCUGUGCACCACAGGAAGACGCCAGCCUCCAGCAUGUUAAAUGUUAUGCUACUCCUGAUGCUUUGCAAGAUUAGUCUGAGACGAAAACUGCAGUCUUUUCCCGGGGAAAAUGGUAAACACUCUCCACACUGAUGAGGAAAAGGGAAUCCAAGACAAGGAAAGUAAGGAGGAGAGCAUCUUGGCCAUGCUGGGGAUCAUUGGAACCAUUCUCAACUUGGUUGUCAUCAUCUUUGUCUACAUCUACACCACCCUGUAGGUCUCUAUCUCCUGCUGUACUUCAUCAGCGGGCAGAUGAGAGAUCAUCUGUGUCAAUGCGAUGGCCAUAUUGCAUCCAUCCUGCAUCCCUUUAAACAACUUAGUCGAUGGGAAACGGACUCGUUCCUUUUGCCUUUACUGGUGAAAUAGUCCAACAUGCCGUGAGACAUUUAACUUGUACAUAAAUGCCCGACGAUACCGCUUUUCUCAACCACAUGGACAUCAAGGAUUGCAGAGGGUGGACGUGAAAAUAUGUAUCAGAUGUUUUAUUGACUGAAGUGUUGAAAGUACCUAAUAUGCUUCCAUGUGAUGGAAUAUAAGGAUGUAUAGAGAAGGUAGGUUUUUGCAAUGAUAUAUAUUCAUUUUCCUCAAAGAUUUUCACAGUAUAUGACAACAUACAUCGGUUUCUAUGAGGAUUAAGUAAAUUAAAGAAAAUAGAUAUUCAAAUUGUUAUUGAGGUUGAAUUUUGUUUUUGUACUGUAUUCCUCACUGUUUGGAGUAAAAAAAUGAUUUUGGAUGGUGUUUUAUUUCCUACAAUUGUCCUACAAAAGUUGUAUAUUGUGCAUUUACUAAAACAAACUUUGUCAAUGGCAUGAAGUCAGUUUUCAAAUGUUAGGAAUUCAGACAGAUCAGUACAAACUGUCUCAAUAAUUUAUAAUACUUAAGUUUAUGACGCAUCACUUGAGGGUCACCGACACUUUCUCACCGAGAGAAGAUUAAUUAAUUUGUGGGAAAAUAAUGUUAUUAUUUGUCGAAGUCGAGGCUGAAGAUCACCAUCGUUGUUCUUGGGGGUAAACAUCUUCAGACGUUUUCACAAAGAUCAUUUCCUCACGUAUGGGUCUAUCAGACGCUGGCAUGUUUCAGCUCGUACCAACUGAAUCAGGUUGGGUCAUGGGAGCGUCUCAAAUUAUAUUCACUUGCUGUUUUUCCUUCAUUCUUGAACAAGAAGCCUGCAAAAUGAUCUGCAUGUAAGUCUUUUUCUGUUUGCUCUCAUUUAUAGAUUAAUUUGACAAUAAUGCAUCAAAGGAAUCGUUCCACAUUUUGGGCAAUAAUCUGGUCUCCUGCCAACCUCUCAGUGAAGAGAAGACUCUUGGAAGUCUUUGUGGUCAGCCGAGAAGUAGUCUGGCGCAGAACUUUGUAAAACCAAAACCUGUUUUUAUUGUGUAAAAAAUAUACUCCCGUUUAUUCCUCAAUAAUUGACUACUGUUUGAGAUGUGACAACGUGAUUUCAUUUUCCCCAUUUCCAGUCAUUAUGCUAAGAUGCUCUUCUCCUAGCUGCGAAUUCGAAUUUAACGGACAAGUGUGAGAGCGAUAUCAAUCUUUUAUGUAACUCUCAUUGAGGAAGCGAAUAAGAGUAUUUCCCAAAAUGAAAAACUUUUACUGAAAAAAUGUAUCUAUAAGAGAAGAGAAAACGCCUUUAAAUAAUGAUGUACAGUAUUUAGCGGAUGUCAUGCUUUAGAAAAGAACAGUUACAUGUGUUUGCAAGACGACCACCUCAUGAUUUCAGAAAGUGCCUGAGAUCAAAGUGUCUCAACCUCAUCAGUUAAAAGGUCAAGAAAAUAAAAAUAGAAAAAACAGUGAGAGUAUCUUUAUAAAGCCACGAGUCCCACAGGAUAGUGGAAGAAGAAUGAUGGGACUGGAUUUCUGUUUCAUGGCUUAAUAAAGUCAAUUAGCUUGGGUGAACAAACUUAAGCACAUGGACAAGUCGUAUGAAUGUAUUAUCCCUUAUUCUUUACUCAUCUUUCUUAAAGCUAUGUACCUCUAUUUGUUAUGUUUUGUUCAUGUGUAUGCUAAAUCUAUUUAAACCUAUUGAUUUGUCACUUGUGGGUGACAAAUUGGGUAAACGUUUGUCAGGCUGCGGUUCGGUUAAAAAACAUUAAAUGAAUACAAGAUGAAACGGAUAUAUUUGGAUGUUCUGUCUUGGUUUGUAUCAUACCAUAUUAAUGGUAAUAUAUUGAAUUACGCCUUUGGUGCACAUAAGCUACAUUCAUUAAUGCUACGCAUAUACACAUUUUGAAAAAACUUUCAGCUUCAUGACUUCUGGAACAAAAUACUUUUACAGAAGUGAAACGCUUCUAGCACGAAUAAAAUAAUCUUUGAAAAUCUAUAUUGUCCUGUAUCUGACAGCUGCGUGCGAUUAGAACAGAGCCUGGAAGAAGAAGAGGGAGUAAGAAGCCUCACUGAAAGAGGCUACAGCGUUACAUCCUGUCAGACAUAUUUCUGUCUCGCAGGAAUAAUCCGAAGAAGGGAGAAAAAAAGAGCAGCACCAAGACACAGAAACCAAAUCACUCUAAACAAAUGUAUUUUUAUUCCAUCUCCUUUUGCUUUUUAAUCAUGUGUGUCAGGAUAAUUUCCCACUCCAUUACGAGUGCUUUGUGACUGGUAACAUACUGGAACAAUCCUGUUGAAGGGGAAAAAACUGGACUGAAAACAUCUUGCUGUCACUUUUUCUUUAAAUAGGCGAUGAACCAAGAAAAAAAAAAACAGCCUUUGUCUAAAGAACCCCAGCUGCUUAAAUUCACACGUACCCAAAGCCUGCUUUAAGCUAUUGUUUCACCUGCCUCCAGCAGCCAGGCAGCCUUGGAAAUCAUUGCCUCUGCUGAAGCUGAAACACGCUUGGUGAACAAUGCGCAGGAGAUCGUGGUGCAUCACAGAUGGACGGUUCAGGUGAGCAGAUUGUCUGCGCAGACGUUCCGUCUCUAUCUGAACUGAGCUGACAAUCGUUUUGAUGGUUUCACAGAAAAGCUGUGAGGCCGAUUAAUCCAUCAGCAACACAAGCCACACCGAAAUCAACGAGACACACUCAAGACUGGCAACAUCGGGCUGCUUCUGGAAUGAUUGAGAAGCAAUUCAAACCUGUGGCAGGAAAAUCAUGUUAAAAUGGAGCGCCGCAUUGCAAGGAAUUUCUUUCAGUAGGACACAAACCCACCGAGGUUUUUCCCCAAUAAUCAAAUCAACAGAACACAGAAUAUUUCAUUACAAAACGGCCGCUUUCAAGUAUGAUGACACCCGAUGUGAAAAAACUCAACUCGACAGGGAAAAGGGGUCAAAUGUGUAAUCUGUUUUUGUGGAAAUAACUAGUUUUGCUGUAAUUAAAUCAUAACAGUGUUUAAGAGUUCCAAAGCUUGACAGAGAAAGGGAAACAAGGCAACGCCUUUUCUACCUCACCAGGUCACAGUUGGCUCCGGAGUUUGAAUGUCGUGACUUCACUGAAUCCAAAAUCCGCCCACAAUUAGGGAUCUGAUAGGAUUUCCCUAUCAGAUGUGUCCAGUAUAGAAUCCCCGUCACAAAGGGUGCACAUAUCAAGCUGCCUUUUUAAAAAAUGUAUUCAUGCAGAGGAAUAAAUCCUGUGAUCAAAAUUGGGGAACAAGCUAGAAGGCCAUGACUAAUCCUGAUAACAAUGUAAAACUUAAAAGUUUAAAAAGUCAGGUUUGGGGUGAAUGUUUUUUAUGGAUGGGAAAGGUUUUAGUUGCUCUAUGCUAAAGUUGACACAUGUUUUCAGAGUUCUAAAUGGAGAUUGGUUAUUCUUGCUGGUGAGGUGAAGAGGAUUACAGGAGGUGCAAUAAAUAUACUUUUCAAUAGAUUUGAAGAGGGAUUUCCUGGAGCGUUUCCCUACUUCUGAAAGUCUAACUGAUUCAAAUCCAAUACUGUUUGGAAAGGUUCUAUUUAUUUAUGAAAGUUUUAUUUGUAAAUAUGUGGGGUUACAUUUUAAAAUACAUUGGGUUUAUUAAGAAAAUCAUAUUAAUUGUAUGUAUUUUGAGUUAAUUGAGUUGAUCGCAUAAACCUAAUCGUUAUGAAUAUCAGAAAUAAGCUCUAUUAACAGUGAAUACAAACACAUGUUUAUCAAUUUAAAACAAACUGGCUCAUUCAUGGUAAAAGCAUAUACCAAUUUAUUGUAUAUUUAAAACUCAUUUGGCUUACUGGUAUUUUUUUAAAUAAAUGUAAUUCUUACUUGGUUGUUACUUGAAGUUAUUUUGACCAGCAAAUGUAAUUAUCACUUAAAAUGUAAUUCCAAUGGAUGGACAUUUUAUAUGCAAAUGAAUACAUACGUCUUAAUUAUUAGGCCUAUGUAUUUAUUUGCGUUGAAUGUAUUUAACAAUAAGGUAAUUUUAAAAAUGAAACUAUAACCUGGCAAGCGGAGAGUAUAUAAAUCAGUUUCCCCUCACUAUGCGAGAGCAUAAGAAACUAAACUCUUUAUUAAAGGAGAAGGAAAAGUGCAG
This is a long non-coding RNA of Gasterosteus aculeatus aculeatus (three-spined stickleback), 5338 nucleotides long. The record is from Ensembl. NCBI's taxonomy places the organism in Eukaryota, Metazoa, Chordata, Actinopteri, Perciformes, Gasterosteidae.